CCUACGGGGGGCAGCAGUGGGGAAUAUUGGACAAUGGGGGCAACCCUGAUCCAGCCAUGCCGCGUGUGUGAAGAAGGCCCUCGGGUUGUAAAGCACUUUCAGUGAGGAAGAACGCCUGGUGGUUAAUACCCAUCAGGAAAGACAUCACUCACAGAAGAAGCACCGGCUAACUCCGUGCCAGCAGCCGCGGUAAUACGGAGGGUGCGAGCGUUAAUCGGAAUUACUGGGCGGAAAGCGCGCGUAGGUGGCUUGAUAAGCCGGUUGUGAAAGCCCCGGGCUCAACCUGGGAACGGCAUCCGGAACUGUCAAGCUAGAGUGCAGGAGAGGAAGGUAGAAUUCCCGGUGUAGCGGUGAAAUGCGUAGAGAUCGGGAGGAAUACCAGUGGCGAAGGCGGCCUUCUGGACUGACACUGACACUGAGGUGCGAAAGCGUGGGUAGCAAACAGGAUUAGAUACCCGGGUAGUC
This 465-nucleotide ribosomal RNA is filed under the name Vreelandella stevensii. Its description in RNAcentral is "partial 16S ribosomal RNA". It matches the Rfam family "Bacterial small subunit ribosomal RNA", at positions 338 to 795 of the family's 1533-position model. The record is from RNAcentral. Lineage: Bacteria; Pseudomonadati; Pseudomonadota; Gammaproteobacteria; Oceanospirillales; Halomonadaceae.